RNAcentral lists this ribosomal RNA (961 nucleotides) under Psychrobacter cibarius. Its description in RNAcentral is "bacterial SSU rRNA". It matches the Rfam family "Bacterial small subunit ribosomal RNA", at positions 75 to 1032 of the family's 1533-position model. The record is from RNAcentral. Lineage: Bacteria; Pseudomonadati; Pseudomonadota; Gammaproteobacteria; Moraxellales; Moraxellaceae.
AUAGCUUGCUAUCAGGCGUCGAGCGGCGGACGGGUGAGUAAUACUUAGGAAUCUACCUAGUAGUGGGGGAUAGCACGGGGAAACUCGUAUUAAUACCGCAUACGACCUACGGGAGAAAGGGGGCAGUUUACUGCUCUCGCUAUUAGAUGAGCCUAAGUCGGAUUAGCUAGAUGGUGGGGUAAAGGCCUACCAUGGCGACGAUCUGUAGCUGGUCUGAGAGGAUGAUCAGCCACACCGGGACUGAGACACGGCCCGGACUCCUACGGGAGGCAGCAGUGGGGAAUAUUGGACAAUGGGGGAAACCCUGAUCCAGCCAUGCCGCGUGUGUGAAGAAGGCCUUUUGGUUGUAAAGCACUUUAAGCAGUGAAGAAGACUCCGUGGUUAAUACCCACGGACGAUGACAUUAGCUGCAGAAUAAGCACCGGCUAACUCUGUGCCAGCAGCCGCGGUAAUACAGAGGGUGCAAGCGUUAAUCGGAAUUACUGGGCGUAAAGGGAGCGUAGGUGGCUCUAUAAGUCAGAUGUGAAAUCCCCGGGCUCAACCUGGGAACUGCAUCUGAAACUGUAGAGCUAGAGUAUGUGAGAGGAAGGUAGAAUUCCAGGUGUAGCGGUGAAAUGCGUAGAGAUCUGGAGGAAUACCGAUGGCGAAGGCAGCCUUCUGGCAUAAUACUGACACUGAGGCUCGAAAGCGUGGGUAGCAAACAGGAUUAGAUACCCUGGUAGUCCACGCCGUAAACGAUGUCUACUAGUCGUUGGGUCCCUUGAGGACUUAGUGACGCAGCUAACGCAAUAAGUAGACCGCCUGGGGAGUACGGCCGCAAGGUUAAAACUCAAAUGAAUUGACGGGGGCCCGCACAAGCGGUGGAGCAUGUGGUUUAAUUCGAUGCAACGCGAAGAACCUUACCUGGUCUUGACAUAUCUAGAAUCCUGCAGAGAUGCGGGAGUGCCUUCGGGAAUUAGAA